UAGCAGAGAAUCCCUCUGCUAGGGUUUCAUGUUCAUAUACCGCCGCCGUUCAAGCCAUUCCCAUGGCCUCCAUCGAUGCCUCGAUCUCCAAUCGCGACGGAGAGGGCACCAACUCGGCAAUUCCGACGAAAAGGUAAGUUUUCUCUUACUUUUCUUCUUUUUAUUUAGGCAAAAAUAAAUAAAUAAAUAAAUAAAUAGAGAAAAUAAAAAAUAAUAUAUAUAUAAAUGAAAAAUAAAAGAACGAUAAUCAACAAGGUAAAACAGAGAGAAAAAAAACACCUUUUCUGUCAAAAAGAAAAUUUUGUAUUUGUAUUUAGUUUUUCUUUCGGUCUCCCCCCCUUUUACAGUAUAUUCAAUGACUCUUAUAGCCAUAAUGAGAAAAAUAUAAAGAAAUAAAUUUGUUCUUAUUGAUUUGAUUUUGCAAAUCUCUGAUUUUGUUUCCUUUUUUGCGUUUGUUCCUUGCAGGUGAAGAUCGCGUGGAGAUGAUUGCGGCGGCUGAAGAUUAGAAAACCCUAGGGUUUCUGUCACUAUUUUGGGCCACCGGAUUUGGGCCUUUGUUUUAUUUCAAUUUGGGCCUUGUAUUUGUAGGCCGGGUAAAAUUUCGGUAUUACAAAUAGCAUCAACAAUAUGCACAACAUUGGGUUUUUUCA
RNAcentral lists this long non-coding RNA (650 nucleotides) under Gossypium raimondii (Peruvian cotton). RNAcentral describes it as "long non-coding RNA (GRAI_LNC003678)". The record is from RNAcentral. Lineage: Eukaryota; Viridiplantae; Streptophyta; Magnoliopsida; Malvales; Malvaceae.